RNAcentral lists this ribosomal RNA (483 nucleotides) under uncultured bacterium. RNAcentral describes it as "partial 16S ribosomal RNA". It matches the Rfam family "Bacterial small subunit ribosomal RNA", at positions 30 to 506 of the family's 1533-position model. The record is from RNAcentral.
AUUGAACGCUGGCGGCAGGCCUAACACAUGCAAGUCGAGCGGAUGAAGGGAGCUUGCUCCUGGAUUCAGCGGCGGACGGGUGAGUAAUGCCUAGGAAUCUGCCUGGUAGUGGGGGAUAACGUCCGGAAACGGGCGCUAAUACCGCAUACGUCCUGAGGGAGAAAGUGGGGGAUCUUCGGACCUCACGCUAUCAGAUGAGCCUAGGUCGGAUUAGCUAGUUGGUGGGGUAAAGGCCUACCAAGGCGACGAUCCGUAACUGGUCUGAGAGGAGGAUCAGUCACACGGGAACUGAGAAACGGUCCAGACUCCUACGGGAGGCAGCAGUGGGGAAUAUUGGACAAUGGGCGAAAGCCUGAUCCAGCCAUGCCGCGUGUGUGAAGAAGGUCUUCGGAUUGUAAAGCACUUUAAGUUGGGAGGAAGGGCAGUAAGUUAAUACCGUGCUGUUUUGACGUUACCAACAGAAUAAGCACCGGCUAACUUCGU